This 386-nucleotide RNase P RNA is filed under the name Alphaproteobacteria bacterium. Its description in RNAcentral is "RNase P RNA component class A". It matches the Rfam family "Bacterial RNase P class A". From Rfam's summary of the family: Ribonuclease P (RNase P) is a ubiquitous endoribonuclease, found in archaea, bacteria and eukarya as well as chloroplasts and mitochondria. Lineage: Bacteria; Pseudomonadati; Pseudomonadota; Alphaproteobacteria. The record is from RNAcentral.
UCAGACGGCCGGAUGGCCGCGGCGCUCCUCGCGGGCGUCGAGGAAAGUCCGGGCUCCACGAAGGACACGGUGACGGAUAACAUCCGCCGGGGGCGACCCCAGGGACAGCGCCACAGAAAUGAUACCGCCUACCGGCCGCUCUCUUUGCGGAGAUCGGCCGCGGCAAGGUUGAAAUGGUGCGGUAAGAGCGCACCGCGGCCCCGGCAACGGGACCGGCAAGGCAAGCCCCACCGGGAGCAAGACCAAAUAGGGACGGCACAGGAUCUGUCUUUCGGAUCGCCGUCCGGGUCGGUCGCGUGAGGCGUCCGGUGACGGACGUCCUAGAGGAAUGGCCAUCGCGCGCCGCAAGGCGGGCACAGAACCCGGCUUACAGGCCGUCUGACACU